This 208-nucleotide ribosomal RNA is filed under the name Heterosigma akashiwo. Its description in RNAcentral is "partial Eukaryotic large subunit ribosomal RNA". It matches the Rfam family "Eukaryotic large subunit ribosomal RNA", at positions 201 to 407 of the family's 3401-position model. The record is from RNAcentral. Lineage: Eukaryota; Raphidophyceae; Chattonellales; Chattonellaceae.
CGCCUGAGAGGGUGACAGCCCCGUCGGCCCGGGACCCUGCCGCAUCACGAGGCGUUGUCGGCGAGUCGGGUUGUUUGGGAAUGCAGCCCCAAUCGGGCGGUAAAUUCCGUCCAAGGCUAAAUACGGGCGAGAGACCGAUAGCGAACAAGUACCGCGAGGGAAAGAUGAAAAGGACUUUGAAAAGAGAGUUAAAGAGUGUUUGAAAUUG